UGCUUUUUAGUGAAUGGCCGCGGUAUUCUGACCGUGCAAAGGUAGCAUAAUCAUUUGUCCUUUUAUUGAGGACUGGUAUGAAAGAAAGGUUGAGACUUUGGUUGUCUCUUUUGUUGUUUUGGAAUUUGCUGUUUUUGUGAAGAAGCAAAGGUGGUAAAAAAGGACAAGAAGACCCUAUUAAGCUUUAUUUUUGGUUUUGUGCUGUUUUUAUUUGUUAAAAAAUAUUGAAGUGUGAAUGUAAAAUUUGGUUGGGGUGACUAAAGAAGCAAUAGAUCUUCUUUAUUAAUUUAAACUUUUAGUUUAAUGAAGACCCAGAUUUUUUGGUUGUAAGAAUUAGUUACUAUAGGGAUAACAGCGUAAUCUUCCCAGAAAGUUCUUAUUGAAGGGGGGGUUUGCGACCUCGAUG
RNAcentral lists this ribosomal RNA (406 nucleotides) under Heteronemertea gen. sp. 14 TCH-2015. RNAcentral describes it as "partial 16S ribosomal RNA". It matches the Rfam family "Bacterial large subunit ribosomal RNA", at positions 1914 to 2531 of the family's 2925-position model. The record is from RNAcentral. Lineage: Eukaryota; Metazoa; Nemertea; Pilidiophora; Heteronemertea.